This 359-nucleotide ribosomal RNA is filed under the name unidentified. RNAcentral's name for it is "Placoceratias sp. NB-2020 partial 12S ribosomal RNA". The record is from RNAcentral.
UUAAAAUUAAGUAAGUUAAAAUUAGAGUAGUAAUAGUUAUGUUCUUAAAACUUAAAAAAUUUGGCGGUAUUUUAUUCUUAUCAGAGGAACUUGUUUUAUAAUUGAUAAUCCCCAUUGUAUCUUACUUAAAUUUGUAUAAUUUGUAUAUCGUUGUCAUAAGAAAAUCUUAUAAAAGUAAUAAUUUUCUAAGUUAAAAAUAAUUUUUUAUGUCAGAUCAAGGUGCAGUUUAUAUUUAAGUAAAAAUGAGUUACAAUAUAUUAAUAUAUAAUUAUGAAUUAGAGAUUGUAAAAUUUUUAUGAAGGUGGAUUUGAUAGUAAAUUUUUAAAGAUUAUAAAAUUGAUUAUAGUUUUAAAAUGUGC